RNAcentral lists this ribosomal RNA (672 nucleotides) under uncultured archaeon. Its description in RNAcentral is "bacterial SSU rRNA". It matches the Rfam family "Archaeal small subunit ribosomal RNA", at positions 153 to 828 of the family's 1478-position model. The record is from RNAcentral.
GCGAUAAGCCAUGAUUUCUGGAAUGAUUCAUGACUAAAACCUAUAUGGCCCCUGGAUUGGACUGCGGCCGAUCAGGCUGUUGGUGAGGUAAUGGCCCACCAAACCUAUUACCGGUACGGGCUCUGAGAGGAGGAGCCCGGAGAUGGGCACUGAGACAAGGGCCCAGGCCCUAUGGGGCGCAGCAGGCGCGAAACCUCUGCAAUAGGCGAAAGCUUGACAGGGUUACUCUGAGUGAUUUCCGCUAAGGGAAUCUUUUGGCACCUCUAAAAAUGGUGCAGAAUAAGGGGUGGGCAAGUCUGGUGUCAGCCGCCGCGGUAAUACCAGCACCCCGAGUGGUCGGGACGAUUAUUGGGCCUAAAGCAUCCGUAGCCGGUCCUGCAAGUCUUCCGUUAAAUCCAGCUGCUUAACAGAUGGGCCGCGGGAGAUACUACAGGGCUAGGAGGCGGGAGAGGCAAGCGGUACUUUAUGGGUAGGGGUAAAAUCCGCUGAUCCAUAGAAGACCACCAGUGGCGAAGGCGGCUUGCCAGAACGCGCUCGACGGUGAGGGAUGAAAGCUGGGGGAGCAAACCGGAUUAGAUACCCGGGUAGUCCCAGCUGUAAACGAUGCAGACUCGGUGAUGGGUUGGCCUCGCGCCUGCCCAGUGCCGCAGGGAAGCCGUUAAGUCUGCCGCC